Molecule: ribosomal RNA, 253 nt
Filed under: uncultured bacterium
Lineage: Bacteria
Description: partial 16S ribosomal RNA
Rfam family: Bacterial small subunit ribosomal RNA
Source: RNAcentral
UACGAAGGGGGCUAGCGUUGCUCGGAAUGACUGGGCGUAAAGGGCGCGUAGGCGGACCUGCAAGUCGGGGGUGAAAGCCCGAGGCUCAACCUCGGAACUGCCUUCGAUACUGCGGGUCUCGAGUCCGGGAGAGGUGAGUGGAAUUCCUAGUGUAGAGGUGAAAUUCGUAGAUAUUAGGAAGAACACCAGUGGCGAAGGCGGCUCACUGGCCCGGUACUGACGCUGAGGCGCGAAAGCGUGGGGAGCAAACAGG